GGAACUUGUCCAUCCGUACUGAUCCGAGGUCACAUUCAGAAGUUGGGGGUUUAACGGCUUGGCCGCGCCGCGUACCAGUUGCGAGGGUUUUACUACUACGCAAUGGAAGCUGCAGCGAGACCGCCACUGUAUUUCGGUGGG
This 141-nucleotide unclassified non-coding RNA is filed under the name Fusarium thapsinum. Its description in RNAcentral is "sequence contains ITS1, 5.8S rRNA gene and ITS2". The record is from RNAcentral. Lineage: Eukaryota; Fungi; Ascomycota; Sordariomycetes; Hypocreales; Nectriaceae.